Molecule: long non-coding RNA, 780 nt
Filed under: Phaseolus vulgaris (common bean)
Lineage: Eukaryota; Viridiplantae; Streptophyta; Magnoliopsida; Fabales; Fabaceae
Description: long non-coding RNA (PVUL_LNC002969)
Source: RNAcentral
GGCUUGUUGCUGCCGGUGUUGAUUCUGAAGGAGGAGACGACAAUGGUGGCGACGGUGUAGUAGCCGGAGCGAAGGGGGAAGGUGGGUAUGAUGGAGGGAUGGUGGAUGGAUAGGGUGAUAGGGAAGGUGGGGAAGGUGGGGAUGAAGAUGAUGGAGGUUGGGUGACAGGGGAAUUGGAAUUUGGAGUUGGGGCAUAGGGGUAGGGUGAUUGAGAUGUUGGGGAAGGAGUGUUUGGAGGUGACGGAAUGUAGGGAGGUUGGGAAAUGGGAGAAGGAGUGGUGGAUGGUGGUGUGGAAAUGUAAGAAGGUGGCUGGGAUAUUGGGGAAGGAGUGGUGGAUGGUGGUGUGGAAAUGUAAGGUGGCUGGGAUAUUGGGGAAGGAGUGGUGUUUGGAGGUGAUGGGAUGUAAGGAGGCUGAGAUAUUGGGGAAGGAGUGUUUGGAGGUGAUGGGGUGUAAGGAGGCUGGGAAGUAGGAGAAGGAGUAUUGGGUUGUGGAGGCACAUAAGGUGACUGAGAAAAGGGUGAUGGGGUUAUUGGAACAAAGGGUGGUUGAUGAUGAGGGGAAGGGGUGUUUGGAGGUAGAGGAGCAUGGGGUGGAUGGUUAUUAGGGGAAGGAGCAUAAGUGGGAGAAGGUGUGUUGGGAGGUAUGGGAGCAUAGGGUGGUUGAGCUUUGGGAGGAAAGGGAAGAUUAGUAGGAGGUGAAGGUGCUUCUGGAGGAGUAUAAACAGGGGGAGGAGUUUGAUGAGGUGGAUAAGGAGCUUUUGGAGGAGAAUAUGGAGGAG